Molecule: ribosomal RNA, 553 nt
Filed under: uncultured bacterium
Lineage: Bacteria
Description: partial 16S ribosomal RNA
Rfam family: Bacterial small subunit ribosomal RNA
Source: RNAcentral
UGGGGAAUUUUGGACAAUGGGCGAAAGCCUGAUCCAGCAAUGCCGCGUGUGUGAAGAAGGCCUUCGGGUUGUAAAGCACUUUUGUCCGGAAAGAAAUCCUUGGCUCUAAUACAGUCGGGGGAUGACGGUACCGGAAGAAUAAGCACCGGCUAACUACGUGCCAGCAGCCGCGGUAAUACGUAGGGUGCAAGCGUUAAUCGGAAUUACUGGGCGUAAAGCGUGCGCAGGCGGUUUGCUAAGACCGAUGUGAAAUCCCCGGGCUCAACCUGGGAACUGCAUUGGUGACUGGCAGGCUAGAGUAUGGCAGAGGGGGGUAGAAUUCCACGUGUAGCAGUGAAAUGCGUAGAGAUGUGGAGGAAUACCGAUGGCGAAGGCAGCCCCCUGGGCCAAUACUGACGCUCAUGCACGAAAGCGUGGGGAGCAAACAGGAUUAGAUACCCUGGUAGUCCACGCCCUAAAACGAUGUCAACUAGUUGUUGGGGAUUCAUUUCCUUAGUAACGUAGCUAACGCGUGAAGUUGACCGCCUGGGGAGUACGGUCGCAAGAUUAAAAC